Cervus elaphus (red deer) is the source of this 73-nucleotide non-coding RNA. The record is from the annotation of a RefSeq genome assembly. NCBI's taxonomy places the organism in Eukaryota, Metazoa, Chordata, Mammalia, Artiodactyla, Cervidae.
UCCCUGGUGGUUGAGUGGCUAAGACUCUGUGCUCCCAAUGCAGGGGUUCCGGGUUCGAAUCCUGGUCAGGGAA